RNAcentral lists this ribosomal RNA (700 nucleotides) under Pseudoxanthomonas indica. RNAcentral's name for it is "bacterial SSU rRNA". It matches the Rfam family "Bacterial small subunit ribosomal RNA", at positions 78 to 771 of the family's 1533-position model. Lineage: Bacteria; Pseudomonadati; Pseudomonadota; Gammaproteobacteria; Lysobacterales; Lysobacteraceae. The record is from RNAcentral.
GCUUGCUCUCUGGGUGGCGAGUGGCGGACGGGUGAGGAAUACAUCGGAAUCUACCUUGUCGUGGGGGAUAACGUAGGGAAACUUACGCUAAUACCGCAUACGACCUUCGGGUGAAAGUGGGGGACCGCAAGGCCUCACGCGAUUAGAUGAGCCGAUGUCGGAUUAGCUAGUUGGCGGGGUAAAAGCCCACCAAGGCGACGAUCCGUAGCUGGUCUGAGAGGAUGAUCAGCCACACUGGAACUGAGACACGGUCCAGACUCCUACGGGAGGCAGCAGUGGGGAAUAUUGGACAAUGGGCGCAAGCCUGAUCCAGCCAUACCGCGUGGGUGAAGAAGGCCUUCGGGUUGUAAAGCCCUUUUGUUGGGAAAGAAAUCCUGUCGAUUAAUACUUGGCGGGGAUGACGGUACCCAAAGAAUAAGCACCGGCUAACUUCGUGCCAGCAGCCGCGGUAAUACGAAGGGUGCAAGCGUUACUCGGAAUUACUGGGCGUAAAGCGUGCGUAGGUGGUGGUUUAAGUCUGCUGUGAAAGCCCUGGGCUCAACCUGGGAAUUGCAGUGGAUACUGGGUCACUAGAGUGUGGUAGAGGGAUGCGGAAUUUCUGGUGUAGCAGUGAAAUGCGUAGAGAUCAGAAGGAACAUCCGUGGCGAAGGCGGCAUCCUGGGCCAACACUGACACUGAGGCACGAAAGCGUGGGGAGCAA